AAGCAAGGACUGGUUACAAGCUUCACCCACAUCAUGCUGCACAACUCAUCUCAUCCUUCACUGCCUCGUUCAAUUACAGAUGUCAGGAGCACUGCCCUACCUUUCUCCUCCCGGGCAGACAUGUGCCCCUCUCGCACAGGGACUCACCUUGUACUGGAGAGUGGCAGGCUCCACCAUCUCCAGGGGUCUGCCGUUCACCUUGAUCAGGCCAUUACCCCUCUUGCAGUGGGCAACUGCUGUGGCGGUUUUCUACGACAGGAACAACAUCAUCAGGGUUCAUGUAUGAGGCAGUGGCAGUGGGGUGAGAACGGGGCCAUGUAGGGUCUGGCCGAAAUCGGCGGUGAUACAACCAGAGAGGGUCACCACUACACCAAAGCCCUCUUUAUUCCUUCUCUUUUUAUUCUUUCUCUUUUUUCCUCCUUCCCCUCUCUGCACUGUUUCUAUCUGAUGGGCUGUGGAACACUGAGCUCCAGCCUGCCUCGACCCUUGACAACAUCUGGAAAUACAAUGAUGAAUACGAGCUCUACCAGCAACUAGCAUCCCCUCAUUUCCCUCCAUUACUCUGCUUGUGCCUGCACACGUAUCAAAAUGUCCAAAAGAUGAUGGAGUGUGACCUUGACAACAUGGCUCCCAGGGGGAGAGGAGACAAGGCUGGGAAGCUGUGAUGGGAAAGUGGGCCAGCGUUCUCAGCCCUCCGCUGGAGAGCUCCUUAAAAGGCCUGGAGAGAUGAUGUCGUGGACUCUUUCCUUUCCCCCCUUAUGUUUUUUUCCUCCCUCAACAGCAGCGGAGAAGCCCGGCAGCAGGAGCAGAGCCAGGCUUUGGCCAAGCUCAUCAUGCACAUCAGAGCAACACACGACACUGAUGACUUCAUUGAGCAGAAAUAAGGCUUCCAUCCAUCAGUCGCUGGAAGGGCUUGUUGUGAAAGACAGGAUUUUGCAGAUUGGGAGUUUUCUCUUGUUAUACUCAUGUAGUCUGGUUUAGAUGGGUUCGUUUAAAAUAUCAGGAGUGUAACUAACGAUUGCAGAACUGCGGCAAAGUUCCCUUUAUUUACAAAGCAAAAGCAGAAAUGAGGAGGAAAUGCAAUAUCACGACAGCAGCAAGAGAUGCAGAAGUAGUCUUUUGUAAGUUCUGCUUGGCUUUUCGCAUACAUCGGUUGGACCUGUUACAGCCUGGUAGCCUGGACCAAUCAGAAUGUACCAAACACAAUAAAUAGCAGAUGUCUUCACACGCAGCUGCUGGCCUUUCUGUUUCCCCAAGCCCGACUAAUUUUUUCCAUCACAGCCCCUGCGACAGGGGUCAAGAACCACUUCAUGUACACAAUGCGUGUAAGGCCAAAACAGAUCCCAAUGCCCCCCCUUAACCCCGCACACAAUUAUUUGGAAGCCAUUGCAUUGGCUUUUCUCAGGUGAGCUUCCAGCGCCUGCAGUGAGAUGCGUCAGGCGAGUGUGGGCGAGCUCUUCACCGGGCUCCAAUCUACGAGGCAUCUGCUGUUAUCUGGGGAAUGCUCACCACACACUUCAUGGACAUAUAUGUACCAGCGCUUUGACAUCUCUGCUAUUUUUAGCGCCAG
Long non-coding RNA from Xiphias gladius (swordfish), 1570 nucleotides. RefSeq lists it as uncharacterized. The transcript has 3 exons. Lineage: Eukaryota; Metazoa; Chordata; Actinopteri; Istiophoriformes; Xiphiidae. The record is from RefSeq and is a predicted model, not a curated record.